GUAGGUGGCAAGCGUUGUCCGGAAUUAUUGGGCGUAAAGCGCGCGCAGGCGGUUUUUUAAGUCUGAUGUGAAAGCCCACGGCUCAACCGUGGAGGGUCAUUGGAAACUGGAGAACUUGAGUACAGAAGAGGAAAGCGGAAUUCCACGUGUAGCGGUGAAAUGCGUAGAGAUGUGGAGGAACACCAGUGGCGAAGGCGGCUUUCUGGUCUGUAACUGACGCUGAGGCGCGAAAGCGUGGGGAGCAAACAGGAUUAGAUACCCUGGUAGUCCACGCCGUAAACGAUGAGUGCUAAGUGUUAGGGGGUUUCCGCCCCCCUUAGUGCUGCAGCUAACGCAUUAAGCACUCCGCCUGGGAUACGGCCGCAAGGCUG
RNAcentral lists this ribosomal RNA (371 nucleotides) under uncultured organism. Its description in RNAcentral is "partial 16S ribosomal RNA". It matches the Rfam family "Bacterial small subunit ribosomal RNA", at positions 527 to 896 of the family's 1533-position model. The record is from RNAcentral.